GCCUCUAUAGCUCAGUGGUAGAGCGUUCGACGUAUGAUCGAAAGGUCCAUGGAUCAAACCCGUGUGGAGGCA
Molecule: transfer RNA, 72 nt
Filed under: Aspergillus terreus NIH2624
Lineage: Eukaryota; Fungi; Ascomycota; Eurotiomycetes; Eurotiales; Aspergillaceae
Description: tRNA-Ile (TAT) (tRNA-Ile-TAT-1-1)
Rfam family: tRNA
About the family: Transfer RNA (tRNA) molecules are approximately 80 nucleotides in length. Their secondary structure includes four short double-helical elements and three loops (D, anti-codon, and T loops).
Source: RNAcentral